Molecule: microRNA, 22 nt
Filed under: Ananas comosus (pineapple)
Lineage: Eukaryota; Viridiplantae; Streptophyta; Magnoliopsida; Poales; Bromeliaceae
Description: microRNA s0411_c46a
Source: RNAcentral
AUAGCGUGCUACCUAUCUUUCA